RNAcentral lists this ribosomal RNA (732 nucleotides) under uncultured bacterium. Its description in RNAcentral is "bacterial SSU rRNA". It matches the Rfam family "Bacterial small subunit ribosomal RNA", at positions 51 to 780 of the family's 1533-position model. The record is from RNAcentral.
ACACAUGCAGUCGAGCGGAUGAAGGAGCUUGCUCCUGGAUUCAGCGGCGGACGGGUGAGUAAUGCCUAGGAAUCUGCCUGGUAGUGGGGGACAACGUUUCGAAAGGAACGCUAAUACCGCAUACGUCCUACGGGAGAAAGCAGGGGACCUUCGGGCCUUGCGCUAUCAGAUGAGCCUAGGUCGGAUUAGCUAGUUGGUGAGGUAAUGGCUCACCAAGGCGACGAUCCGUAACUGGUCUGAGAGGAUGAUCAGUCACACUGGAACUGAGACACGGUCCAGACUCCUACGGGAGGCAGCAGUGGGGAAUAUUGGACAAUGGGCGAAAGCCUGAUCCAGCCAUGCCGCGUGUGUGAAGAAGGUCUUCGGAUUGUAAAGCACUUUAAGUUGGGAGGAAGGGUUGUAGAUUAAUACUCUGCAAUUUUGACGUUACCGACAGAAUAAGCACCGGCUAACUCUGUGCCAGCAGCCGCGGUAAUACAGAGGGUGCAAGCGUUAAUCGGAAUUACUGGGCGUAAAGCGCGCGUAGGUGGUUUGUUAAGUUGGAUGUGAAAUCCCCGGGCUCAACCUGGGAACUGCAUCCAAAACUGGCAAGCUAGAGUAUGGUAGAGGGUGGUGGAAUUUCCUGUGUAGCGGUGAAAUGCGUAGAUAUAGGAAGGAACACCAGUGGCGAAGGCGACCACCUGGACUGAUACUGACACUGAGGUGCGAAAGCGUGGGGAGCAAACAGGAUUA